UGCAAGUCGAACGGCAGCACGGGCUUCGGCCUGGUGGCGAGUGGCGGACGGGUGAGUAAUGCUUGGGAAUCUGCCUAGUGGUGGGGGAUAACCCGGGGAAACUCGGGCUAAUACCGCAUACGUUCUACGGAGGAAAGCGGGGGAUCUUCGGACCUCGCGCCAUUGGAUGAGCCCAAGUCCGAUUAGCUAGUUGGCAGGGUAAAGGCCUACCAAGGCGACGAUCGGUAGCUGGUCUGAGAGGACGAUCAGCCACACUGGGACUGAGACACGGCCCAGACUCCUACGGGAGGCAGCAGUGGGGAAUAUUGGACAAUGGGCGCAAGCCUGAUCCAGCAAUGCCGCGUGUGUUGAAGAAGGCCUGCGGGUUGUAAAGCACUUUAAGCAGGAAAGAAGGGGUGGAAGUUAAUACCUUUCAUCAGUGACGUUACCUGCAGAAUAAGCACCGGCUAACUCCGUGCCAGCCGCCGC
RNAcentral lists this ribosomal RNA (468 nucleotides) under uncultured bacterium. RNAcentral's name for it is "bacterial SSU rRNA". It matches the Rfam family "Bacterial small subunit ribosomal RNA", at positions 56 to 518 of the family's 1533-position model. The record is from RNAcentral.